GCCCGCGGGAGGGGGAGCCGGGCCCGGCGGAGCUCGGAGCAGGGGCGCUGUGUGGGCUCGGUAGCUGAGAGGGCUGUGAGCUUCGAAGAACAGAAUCACGGGGUAGUUCGGCUUGGGUCUGAGAUCACCCGCUCCAAACCCCUUGCCAGGGCAGGGUCACCUGGAGCGGACACGGGAACGUGUCCAUGUGGUUUUGGAAUGCCUCCAGAGAGGGAGACUCUGCGCCUUCUCUGGGCAGCUGCUCCAGUGCUCUGCGACCCUUCGUGCAAAGUUCUUCCUGAUGUUGAGAUGGAAUUUGUGUUUUAGUUUAUAGCCACUGCUCUUUGUCCUGUUGCUGGGCACCACUGAGAAAAGUCUGGCUCCAACCUCUUGGCACCUCUUGGAUAUAUUUGUAUGUAUUGAUGAGCUCCCCUCUCAGCCUUCUCCAGACUGAACAGGCCCAGCUCCUGCAGUCUCUCCUCAUAAGAGAUGUGCUCCAGACCCAUCGUCAGCUUUCAUCAGAUGGUUACUGACCUAUAAUUAUUUUUUAAAACUAUUUAGAGUACUGAAGAUGUCAGAUUUGUGAGGCAAUAACACUCUUUUACUAUGGUGCCAUUAGAAUACUGCCUCAGGGAGAUGCAAAUAUAGAGAGCUAGCUUGUGUAAAUUCCUCAUGGUAGUGUAUUUAGCUGGAUUAGUCCUUUAAACAAAUCUCCUCAGGCUUAAGUUUUAAAUUAAGAUAAUGAGCAGUCCUGCUGAAGUUGGAGAAAUAGAGAAUUUGGUAUGGAAAUUCACUGAAUCAGGACUAGCCUGUAUAUUCAGCCUCUUUAAAAUGUUUUCUCUUUGGAACGUGGGUGGAAAACAGGUGGAAAACCUGUUUACCUUCUCUGGGUUUUCCCAGUGUGCGUGUACCCAUAGCGUGACAGGUCAGCCUGCCAAAACGUGUGAGAAAAAAUAGUAAAGAUGCUGCCACAAGAUAUGGUUCUGCCUCAGCAUGACCUUAGAUAUUUGUUGGCUUUAGCAAAGUUCUGCUCAAUACAAAUGAAGGUCUGAAAGGGAUAGAGGUAUUAAUAAUUUAUGGUAAAUCUGUUACUGAUGGCAAGAAUAGCAAGUUCUCUAAAAAUGAAUGCAAGCCAUGAUGUUUGUCUCAAGGAUUCUGUUACUCAAGCUGAGAUAGCAACAAAGCACUUUGAAGGUUAAUUAUGGACCACAUGAUGGCAGCAACAGCUGAAAGAAGAGAUUCAAAUGUUUCAUCCUUGAGAUCACCACCUCAAUCCUCAACAUUGAAGACCUCUAAAACCAGCAGAUUAAUUCCUUACUGUACCAGCUGAUGCAGAAUAAGUUAAUUAUGGUGCCAAGGAAACUUCAUUUGACUUAUAACAUCUCCUAAACAGAGAUGAUACCCUUUUCUUGCAUCUAUGUACAAUGGAGCAUCUACAACCUAAAUAUUAAAGAAUAGCUUAAAUAAUUUUUUAAAUCAUUUUAUUAACAGCAGAGAUAAUUGUUCACUGAAGAGAUACACUGUCAUCACAAAACUCCAGAAGUGAACAGAAGUUGUAGUUUAACUUGAGGAUUUGGGCUUGCUUCUGCCUUUCAUUCCUAUCAAAAGAAGGCAUUGUUUCUCAGUGUUUUUGGAAAUUAAGUCAAUGUAUUUGGCUGAAUAUCAAAUACUGAUUUAUUAGAAACCUUUUUAUAAAAAACCUUAGAGAAUCCUCUACUUUGGUCCAUGGGAAAUGCUUUGAGGAAAGGAUAAGGACUUCAGUUUUCCUUACAUGUAGGUCACUAAUUUGGUCAACAAAAUUAAGAUUUUCAUUUCCAAGGAUCCCUUUAGUACUCCACAAAGAGGCAGUGGAUCUCACAGGGAAUUCCUGAUCAGAAGUCUAUUUCAGUGCUGGAGGCGGGCUGGGGGCUCUCCUGCCAGGCUGCCAUGCACAGAUGGAGAGGGAGGAGCCAGUUUCCACCUGCUGUUGUGCCCUGUCUCUUCCAGAGCUGCUGCAAAAGCAUGUUGUGUUUGUCAGCUGUGGGUGAUAACGUCUGCGUUCAGAAAGCACCGACUCUGCCUUUGCACAUGAAGAGUGGUCUCAGGAACGUGCUCCAGCACUGCUGCCCCUCUGCCCUGCCACGUGCUGUCCCCACAGCUGCCUCAGGCUGCCCGUGUGGAGCCUGGCCACUUGGAUUUAUGGGAAUGGAGCUGCUCAGCUGUUUGAAGUAAUGGGUGCAUAUUCAUCCGUAUCCAGGAUUCAGAUAUGCAAAACAUCGCAGUUUUGGAUCUACCCAAAACUGCACUUCAGUCACCAAGAGGCUUUGAGGUGCACUGACUGAUUUCGGCAAUUCUCUAGGUGGGCACUGAGCUCCUGCAUCUUUGUGAUGAAAUUCAUGCAAUUUGAUGUCCUUUUGCACUGCACUGCUCCAUCUUCUUAGUUUUUAUUCAGCUUUUAUUCAAACAGGAUGCUUUAAGUAUCUGGAUCUUGAAAUUCAUUGUCUGAUUCUUUAGUAGUCAUCAUUCUCACCUGAUAAAAUUGCUCAACUCCUUCACAGCAAUUGAGACAAAUAAAAAUUCCUUGAUUCUGAAACUUUGGUGGGUACAGAAGUCAGAAGGAUACAGUCUCUUCUGACUGUAAUGGCUGUGUUGUUGCUUUUGCUGUCAGCAGUGUUUAUUUUUAUUAAUAGAUACUACUUUGUUUUGUUCUCAUUUAGCCUCAUAGACUAAUGUUUAAAGUAGCCGAGAAUCAGAUUUUACCUAAAGAACAUUUCAUUUAUUGAAGGUUA
This is a long non-coding RNA of Passer domesticus (house sparrow), 2747 nucleotides long. RefSeq lists it as uncharacterized. NCBI's taxonomy places the organism in Eukaryota, Metazoa, Chordata, Aves, Passeriformes, Passeridae. The record is from RefSeq and is a predicted model, not a curated record. The transcript has 5 exons.